AGAGUUUGAUCAUGGCUCAGAGCGAACGCUGGCGGCAGGCUUAACACAUGCAAGUCGAGCGGGCGUAGCAAUACGUCAGCGGCAGACGGGUGAGUAACGCGUGGGAACGUACCUUUUGGUUCGGAACAACACAGGGAAACUUGUGCUAAUACCGGAUAAGCCCUUACGGGGAAAGAUUUAUCGCCGAAAGAUCGGCCCGCGUCUGAUUAGCUAGUUGGUGAGGUAAUGGCUCACCAAGGCGACGAUCAGUAGCUGGUCUGAGAGGAUGAUCAGCCACAUUGGGACUGAGACACGGCCCAAACUCCUACGGGAGGCAGCAGUGGGGAAUAUUGGACAAUGGGCGCAAGCCUGAUCCAGCCAUGCCGCGUGAGUGAUGAAGGCCCUAGGGUUGUAAAGCUCUUUUGUGCGGGAAGAUAAUGACGGUACCGCAAGAAUAAGCCCCGGCUAACUUCGUGCCGGCAGCCGCGGUAAUACGAAGGGGGCUAGCGUUGCUCGGAAUCACUGGGCGUAAAGGGUGCGUAGGCGGGUCUUUAAGUCAGGGGUGAAAUCCUGGAGCUCAACUCCAGAACUGCCUUUGAUACUGAAGAUCUUGAGUUCGGGAGAGGUGAGUGGAACUGCGAGUGUAGAGGUGAAAUUAGUAGAUAUUCGCAAGAACACCAGUGGCGAAGGCGGCUCACUGGCCCGAUACUGACGCUGAGGCACGAAAGCGUGGGGAGCAAACAGGAUUAGAUACCCUGGUAGUCC
This 744-nucleotide ribosomal RNA is filed under the name uncultured bacterium. RNAcentral's name for it is "bacterial SSU rRNA". It matches the Rfam family "Bacterial small subunit ribosomal RNA", at positions 8 to 796 of the family's 1533-position model. The record is from RNAcentral.